CCCCGUCAAUGCUUCUUAAUUGUUGUAGAAUCUCACAACUUAUUUUUUUUCUUUUAUCUUGGCUUGUGCAAUGAAUUCUUGGGAGUUUGGCCUGUUCAGGACUAUGUUACUUUAUUCUUCUCCGGAAGUGUAUAUAUUUGUUAGAAAUAUGCCAAUAGGGAGAUGGUGUGCAAAUGAGAGGUGUACAGUGGCAGCACUGCAAGGUGAUUUUACUUAAAUAUUCUUGUUUCCACUUCUACGGCUGUGCUCUUCACUUUACUCAUGUAGUCAUGUGUUUUAGGCAUUAGAGAUAAUUGCACUCCUGCAGUUUUUAGGCACAAGUUAGGUGCAACUAAAUCAGAGUUCUUUGUUCUUUGAGUCUAGAAUAAAGAUGGUUCACUGUAGCAGGUUUUUUUUAACUGAAAUCUAGAAGAUGGUUUCACUUUGCUGAUUACUUAGUCUAGCUCUUGCAAAUGAGAGGUGUAC
RNAcentral lists this long non-coding RNA (465 nucleotides) under Sorghum bicolor (sorghum). Its description in RNAcentral is "long non-coding RNA (SBIC_LNC003230)". The record is from RNAcentral. Lineage: Eukaryota; Viridiplantae; Streptophyta; Magnoliopsida; Poales; Poaceae.